Long non-coding RNA from Chrysemys picta bellii (western painted turtle), 2008 nucleotides. RefSeq lists it as uncharacterized. The record is from RefSeq and is a predicted model, not a curated record. NCBI's taxonomy places the organism in Eukaryota, Metazoa, Chordata, Testudines, Emydidae.
GUGAAUGUUUUAGUACAGGCUGGGGAUUGUUAGACAUUGUUUAUUACUAGAUAAACUGUAUAUUUCCCAAAACAACUGGAUACACACAUGAAAGAUUAUUAGCACAUGUAAUUUACUUAUGUGAUUAGGAAAAUAGGAACUAGAAGCAGGGCCGGCGCAACCCAUUAGGCGACCUAGGCGGUCGCCUAGAGUGCUACAAUUUGGGGGGUGGCAACCGCAGCGGUAUUUCGGCGGCGGGACCUUCCACCGCCUCUGUGGGGGGCGGCAUUUCGAGGUGGGACCUUCCGCCACCUAGGGUGGCAGAAAAGCUGGCGGCGCUCCUGACUGGAAGCCUUUUAGAGGGUAACUACAGUGACUUUUCGGAAAGAACAAAAGUUCCCGAACUACCUUCUCUACGCCACUCAUCUUAUAUACAUAAAAAGCAACAGAGGGUCCUGUGGCACCUUUAAGACUAACAGAAGUAUUGGGAGCAUAAGCUUUCGUGGAAACUGCUGAGGAGAUCCUAUCUUGAGCUUCCAUGUGAUGUUCUGCUUUGAAUUAUUAUUUCAACCAGUUUGCCAGUUUAUAAUUCCCUGGAUCACUCUAGAGCCUUUUUAAAUAUAGGUACAGCAUUUGAUACCCUUCCCAUCCUCCUGAACAGUGUUUACGAGAGUGCCUAUUCUUGUUAGCAGCUCAGCUACUUCCUACUUAAAUUCCUGCAGAACUCUUGGAUGUACCAUUUGGGGUUGGUGACUUACUGCUUUUUAAAUUAUCACCCUACUCCAGUGCCUCCUAACACUUCAAUCUCUGAGAGCACCCACCUUUAUUACCAGAAAACAGCAGAUCUGGGGAAGAAAUCUUCCAACAUUCUAGAUGGUGGAGGCUUGAUGCAAAUCAUAUAACUCCUCAGAUGUGUCCCUCUCUCUCAAUUGUUCCCUUUAAAUUUUAGUGAUCCAGCAGACUCACCCAUUCUUUAUCAAGUAUCUGUUUCUGAAGAAACUUGAAGAAUUUCUUGGCUUGUUUGCUUAUUUAUUUUACACCUUUAUUCGCUCUUUGAAAUCUAUUUGGGACCUUCUAAUUUUCCUCUUACUGCAUGUUGCAACAUGCUCCCAUUUUAAUUGGCUUCACCACAAAUACUGAAGGUUUGAAUAGAUUCUCAAAACUUUCCAUUUAGUCAUAUGGGUUCACUCCUUGCCUUCCUGGUUGAGUGGUAGGGAGCUGUGUUCUUACUGAGGUGUGUGUUUGAUUGUGGGUUUUCUUUCUUCUUUUUUUUUCCCCCCCUGCCUUGCUACCUCUAAGGACUUUACUUCAGUAACUUUUAACUUUAGAGCCUUUUUGACUAAUCAAAACCCCAAUAUAUAAAUUAAACCACAAAUUCAAUUGGGGAUGUUGAAAUGACAAUAAACACUUCAACAGUUUCUCAUUUGCUUUUCCUCAUUGGGUAUUUGUACUGAUAUUCGUUAAACUCCCUCUUAUCCUAAGUGAAGUAUUUGAAUUGAAGAAUGGAUGGAAGGAGACCUUCCUACUUUUGGUAGCUAUCAUUUUCUAACUACUGCUAACUAUCUCUGCAAGGUAUGGCAUUCAUCCCUCAUUCCCAUAGGCACUGCUGUAGAAUCAUUUAUUUUAUUCCUGAAAUGCACCCAACUGUGUCAUAAACCCUAGAUACAGUUGUUAUGAUCAUCAGUGGGGCUCAAAACUGGACCUUUGACACCAAGGCCCCAAUUCAGCAAGGUACCUGAGCACCUAACUUUGACCAUGUAAAUUGCAAUUGAACUAAUUUAUUGUUUAAAGUUAGUCAUGUACUUAAAUACUUUGCUGAACUGCAGCCCAAAUGCACAAAUUUAUACCAGGUGAGCCAACGACUAACUCCAUUAUUAGCUGUGUCAAGGUUUAUCUUUGCCAGAGCCAGUCAUAUGUCCUAAGCCAAUGUAUUACAUACUCCCUGGAAUAAACGCAAAACUAGCUUGUCUAAUGAGAACCAUGCUGUCUGUGGGUCAUUACAUUCAAUUUCAAAGCAUUUCCAUGUAGA